AGAGGGUGCGAACGUUGCUCGGAUUUACUGGGCGUAAAGCGCGUGUAGGCGGACUCGCAAGUCGGUUGUGAAAUCCCUGGGCUCAACCUAGGAACUGCAUCCGAAACUGCUUGUCUUGAGUAAUGGAGAGGGUGGCGGAAUUCCCGGUGUAGAGGUGAAAUUCGUAGAUAUCGGGAGGAACAUCAGUGGCGAAGGCGGCCACCUGGACAUUUACUGACGCUGAGACGCGAAAGCGUGGGGAGCAAACAGGGAUUAGAUACCCUGGUAGUCCACGCCGUAAACGAUGAGCAUUAGGUGCAGCGGAUAUUGACCUCUGCUGUGCCGUAGCUAACGCGUUAAAUGCUCCGCCUGGGAGUACGGCCGCAAGGCUA
This 371-nucleotide ribosomal RNA is filed under the name uncultured organism. RNAcentral's name for it is "partial 16S ribosomal RNA". It matches the Rfam family "Bacterial small subunit ribosomal RNA", at positions 527 to 896 of the family's 1533-position model. The record is from RNAcentral.